GUCAAAGCAGGAUGUUUAUUGCAAAUAACCACAUUGCUGGCGGUUAAGACGUACGUUUCCCAAAUCAAAAGAAAAAAAAAAAAAAACCAUUGCGCCAUGAAUCGUGCGUGUCUCUAUUUCGAUUUGUCCCGUAUUUUAUAUACAAAUAGCUCACCGAGUGUCUGACGUAGUGGAUGCAAAACAGGGACGAUGAUCGAAAAACGCCAGCUGGCGUUGUAACAUUUUCGGCUCCGUUCGUGUAAUUGGCGAAUGCCAACAACACCAUCGUCUAUACUUAAAAUGUACCGCCGCUUUGUUAGACAUCGACGAAGUGCAUCGUUUGAAACGUUGCAUGAGAAUAAGGACCACAACACAUCAACAAAAAAAACGAUUGGUGAACGCUGCUGUUCUUUUGGGCUUUUUGCCAAACGAGCGCUAAAGAAAAAAGAACUUGUCAGCUCGGCUUUUUUUUUGUGUGUGUGGUGUUCCAGCAACUGAAAACAGAAAAUGCUAUUUCCAGCAGUUGCCCAGAACCCCGAUCUAUUUACUGUGACUUGUUUAGAUGAAGGAAAAAAAACUAACUAACUGAAAAAAAUAAAAUAAAAAAGUAAGAAGAAGAUGGAGAGGAAACAAGAUCAAGGUGGACUCUGUGUUUCCGGUGUAGUGCAUUUGACGAAGAAAUAUAAAAACAUCUCCGCCCAUCUUCGAGUUAGGCGGUCUUUUGAUCUUUGUCUCCGACACGAUCGUUACUGCGCGGGUGUGUUUAACACUUUGUGAAUGGAUCGCCAGUUGCCGCAUAAUAGAUGAGUCAUGCCUAACGUGAAUCGUAGGCGGAUUCAGCUGGCUGCCAUUUAUCUAUAACCCUUCUUUGUGACUGGAGUUUUUUUGGGGUUUUUUUUUACGAGUCUUAAUUGAUGAUGAAGGAUUCUCUUACAGCAGGGCGGUACUGCGAACUCGUAGAAAUGGAUUGCCAACUGCUUGCGUAGCACAUCAUUCAUUACACGUUGGCAGUUGUUUCCGCGUUCAAUUUUUUUCUUGUUGUCGUGAGUCCCGAUUCCGCGUUCCGUGAAAGCUUGUCAACCUGUAAAAAAAAAUUUUUUGUCUUUUUGGGAAAGAUAAAUGCCAUCUAGUGGUAGGAUGUGAUAACUUUUGGUAAAAUUACGUCACCAGUAUUUCCAAGAAUUCUGUUUGACAAAAUUCUUGCGCAAGCGGGAACGCAUUGCCGAAAACUUUAUUCAGUUAUUCAAAUUCCCGCUAUUUGAUACAUUUCCGUCCAAUCUGAUUGAGAGACCAUACAUUAUUCAUGGUCGGAUUGUGUGACCGACGAAAGUCGGCUUAGCUUAAGGGUUAACAAUCCAGUUUUUUUUUUAAGUUUUUUUAUUUGAGUUAUUUCUAGCCAAUAGACAAAUACCUCUGCCAAACAAUGCUCUUUUUGCUUGGCUUGAUUAGUUUAUCAAACAUGCAGCUGCGGAAUCCUUUUUUGGGUGAACCUUGGUAUUCAGGCCAAACACAAAUAGGACAAAAUACAAACAGAAAUCAAGCG
This is a long non-coding RNA of Daphnia magna, 1522 nucleotides long. RefSeq lists it as uncharacterized. Lineage: Eukaryota; Metazoa; Arthropoda; Branchiopoda; Diplostraca; Daphniidae. The record is from RefSeq and is a predicted model, not a curated record. The transcript has 2 exons.